GAGUUUGAUCUUGGCUCAGGACGAACGCUGGCGGCGUGCCUAACACAUGCAAGUCGAACGGAGAUAGUUAAUGAAGCUUGCGAUUUAGCUAUCUUAGUGGCGAACGGGUGAGUAACGCGUGGGUAACCUGCCCUUAAGACCGGGACAACAGCUGGAAACGGCUGCUAAUACCGGAUGUAUUAUCUGAGAGGCAUCUCUUAGAGAAGAAAAGCUGGCCUCUGAAAAUGCUAGCGCUUAGGGAUGGACCCGCGUCUGAUUAGCUAGUUGGU
This 269-nucleotide ribosomal RNA is filed under the name uncultured bacterium. RNAcentral describes it as "partial 16S ribosomal RNA". It matches the Rfam family "Bacterial small subunit ribosomal RNA", at positions 9 to 253 of the family's 1533-position model. The record is from RNAcentral.